ACGGGGGGAGCAAGCGUUGUUCGGAUUUACUGGGCGUAAAGGGCGCGUAGGCGGCCACCGCAAGUCACUUGUGAAAUCUCCGGGCUUAACCCGGAAAGGUCAGCCGAUACUGCGGGGCUAGAGUGCAGAAGGGGCAACUGGAAUUCUCGGUGUAGAGGUGAAAUUCGUAGAUAUCGAGAGGAACACCGGUGGCGAAGGCGGCGAUCUGGACGAUGACUGACGCUGAGACGCGAAAGCGUGGGGAGCAAACAGGA
RNAcentral lists this ribosomal RNA (254 nucleotides) under uncultured prokaryote. Its description in RNAcentral is "partial 16S ribosomal RNA". It matches the Rfam family "Bacterial small subunit ribosomal RNA", at positions 525 to 777 of the family's 1533-position model. The record is from RNAcentral.